Non-coding RNA from Paramuricea clavata, 239 nucleotides. The record is from the annotation of a GenBank genome assembly. NCBI's taxonomy places the organism in Eukaryota, Metazoa, Cnidaria, Anthozoa, Malacalcyonacea, Plexauridae.
UUAAAUUCUAAUAAUUUAAUUGGCUGUUUAUGGUCACGUGAUAUUGAAUAGAAAAUUCCAUUUCCCAAGAGUGCAAUGGAACACGUUCCAUUGCACUCUCCGCGAGUGCAAUGGAAUAAAACGUAUAGUGCAAUUGCACUCUUUGUGUUUUCGAUAAAUCGCAUCCCUCAAAAUGCUUCUCAUACGAAUCUAUUAGUCUAUUUUGGUAUUAUAUAAAACAAAUAAUGAAUGUUUAUGAG